GAUGAAGAACGUAGCGAAAUGUGAUACGUAAUGUGAAUUGCAGAAUUCAGUGAAUCAUCGAGUCUUUGAACGCACAUUGCGCCCCCUGGUAUUCCGGGGGGCAUGCCUGUCCGAGCGUCAUUGCUGCCCUCAAGCACGGCUUGUGUGUUGGGCCUCCGUCCUCCUCCCGGGGGACGGGCCCGAAAGGCAGCGGCGGCACCGCGUCCGGUCCUCGAGUGUAUGGGGCUUCGUCACCCGCUCUUGUAGGCCCGGCCGGCGCUUGCCGACACAUCAAUCUUUUUUCCAGGUUGACCUCGGAUCAGGUAGGGAUACCCGCUGAACUUAAGCAUAUCAAUAAGCGGAGGA
RNAcentral lists this unclassified non-coding RNA (345 nucleotides) under soil metagenome. RNAcentral's name for it is "partial contains 5.8S ribosomal RNA, internal transcribed spacer 2, and large subunit ribosomal RNA". The stretch from base 1 to 120 matches the Rfam family "5.8S ribosomal RNA", at positions 35 to 154 of the family's 154-position model. The record is from RNAcentral.